RNAcentral lists this ribosomal RNA (440 nucleotides) under uncultured bacterium. RNAcentral's name for it is "partial 16S ribosomal RNA". It matches the Rfam family "Bacterial small subunit ribosomal RNA", at positions 338 to 795 of the family's 1533-position model. The record is from RNAcentral.
CCUACGGGAGGCAGCAGUGGGGAAUAUUGCACAAUGGGGGAAACCCUGAUGCAGCGACGCCGCGUGAGUGAAGAAGUAUUUCGUUAUGUAAAGCUCUAUCAGCAGGGAAGAAAAUGAGGGUACCUGGGUAAGAAGCCUCGGCGAACUACGUGCCAGUAGCCGCGGUGAUACGUAGGGGGCACGCGUUAUCCGGAUUUACUGGGUGUAAGGGGAGCGUAGGUGGCAGUGCAAGUCAGGAGUGAAAGGCGGGGGCUCAACCCCCGGACUGCAUUGGAAACUGUACAGCUUGAGUGCAGGAGAGGUGAGUGGAAUUCCUAGUGGAGCGGUGAAAUGCGUAGAUAUUAGGAGGAACACCAGUGGCGAAGGCGGCUUACUGGACUGUAACUGACGUUGAGGCUCGAAAGCGUGGGGAGCAAACAGGAUUAGAUACCCCGGUAGUC